This 499-nucleotide unclassified non-coding RNA is filed under the name uncultured Glomus. RNAcentral's name for it is "SSU rRNA". It matches the Rfam family "Eukaryotic small subunit ribosomal RNA", at positions 569 to 1074 of the family's 1831-position model. Lineage: Eukaryota; Fungi; Glomeromycota; Glomeromycetes; Glomerales; Glomeraceae. The record is from RNAcentral.
AGCAGCCGCGGUAAUUCCAGCUCCAAUAGCGUAUAUUAAAGUUGUUGCAGUUAAAAAGCUCGUAGUUGAAUUUCGGGAUCAAUAUGUUGGUCGUGCCUCGGUACGUACUAGCAUAUUGGUUUCUCCUUUCUGAAGAACCAUGAUGUCAUUUAUUUGGUGUCGUGGGGAAUCAGGACUGUUACUUUGAAAAAAUUAGAGUGUUUAAAGCAGGCUCACGCUUGAAUACAUUAGCAUGGAAUAAUGAAAUAGGACGCUUGAUUCUAUUUUGUUGGUUUCUAGGAUCGACGUAAUGAUUAAUAGGGAUAGUUGGGGGCAUUAGUAUUCAAUUGUCAGAGGUGAAAUUCUUGGAUUUAUUGAAGACUAACUACUGCGAAAGCAUUUGCCAAGGAUGUUUUCAUUAAUCAAGAACGAAAGUUAGGGGAUCGAAGACGAUCAGAUACCGUCGUAGUCUUAACCAUAAACUAUGCCGACUAGGGAUCGGAUGAUGUUAAUUUUUUAA